This is a non-coding RNA of Tetranychus urticae (two-spotted spider mite), 155 nucleotides long. Lineage: Eukaryota; Metazoa; Arthropoda; Arachnida; Trombidiformes; Tetranychidae. The record is from RefSeq and is a predicted model, not a curated record.
CGUCUUUCCUCAGCUUCUCGAAGAGCCUCCAGUCGUUCCCUUUCCAGUUCUUCCAGUUUCUCCUUAUCUUCAGCACUAUCACCACCUCCGCCAAUAUCUGAAUCAAAUAGUAACCACUUUCCAACACUCGACAUUUUUGUUAUUGAAUUAUUGAU